This 468-nucleotide ribosomal RNA is filed under the name uncultured bacterium. RNAcentral's name for it is "partial 16S ribosomal RNA". It matches the Rfam family "Bacterial small subunit ribosomal RNA", at positions 28 to 507 of the family's 1533-position model. The record is from RNAcentral.
GACGAACGCUGGCGGCGUGCUUAACACAUGCAAGUCGAACGGAAAGGCCCUGCUUUUGUGGGGUGCUCGAGUGGCGAACGGGUGAGUAACCCGUGAGUAACCUGCCCUUGACUUUGGGAUAACUUCAGGAAACUGGGGCUAAUACCGGAUAGGAGCUCCUGCUGCAUGGUGGGGGUUGGAAAGUUUCGGCGGUUGGGGAUGGACUCGCGGCUUAUCAGCUUGUUGGUGGGGUAGUGGCUUACCAAGGCUUUGACGGGUAGCCGGCCUGAGAGGGUGACCGGCCACAUUGGGACUGAGAUACGGCCCAGACUCCUACGGGAGGCAGCAGUGGGAAAUAUUGCACAAUGAGCGGAAGCCUGAUGCAGCAACGCCGCGUGCGGGAUAACGGCCUUCGGGUUGUAAACCGCUUUCGCCUGUGACGAAGCGUGAGUGACAGUAAUGGGUAAAGAAGCACCGGCUAACUACGUG